This is a long non-coding RNA of Sphaerodactylus townsendi, 258 nucleotides long. RefSeq lists it as uncharacterized. NCBI's taxonomy places the organism in Eukaryota, Metazoa, Chordata, Lepidosauria, Squamata, Sphaerodactylidae. The transcript has 2 exons. The record is from RefSeq and is a predicted model, not a curated record.
GUUGAAAGGGGAGUGUGUGUCGUGAAACCAUCAGGAAGAGCUGUUUAAAGUUGACUGAAAAAGAGAUUCAACCCUCGCCAACAACAAAAUGAUGAAUAAAGGUGAGGAGAAAGGAAUGAAGUCAGACGCAAAAAAAAUGGCCGAGGAGAAAGCUGGUGAUGGCUUAGAGGUGUGGAAACAGCAGCGGGAAAGAUAAAAUGGUGUAAAAAAAGACCACUUGGUCAAAAUAAUAAUUUUAAAGAUGGUUUCAACAAAAUG